AUAAUGAUUAAGAAUUCUGGACAUACAAAUUAGCCGUCCGUCAGUUAGAAAUGUGUUGGAUGAUGAAAAGCACACGUUGGCUCUUUUGCGCUACCAGACUUAAUUGUGAUUGAAAAAUCACCGCUGCUCAGCGUUAUGAGACAUAAAGGUAAAGAUUUUAUUCAAGAUCAUUACAAAUUGCGGUGGUACCACGGUAGAGCGUCCGCACU
RNAcentral lists this unclassified non-coding RNA (209 nucleotides) under Leuconostoc suionicum. RNAcentral's name for it is "T-box". The record is from RNAcentral. Lineage: Bacteria; Bacillati; Bacillota; Bacilli; Lactobacillales; Lactobacillaceae.